Molecule: ribosomal RNA, 483 nt
Filed under: uncultured bacterium
Lineage: Bacteria
Description: partial 16S ribosomal RNA
Rfam family: Bacterial small subunit ribosomal RNA
Source: RNAcentral
AUUGAACGCUGGCGGCAUGCUUUACACAUGCAAGUCGAACGGCAGCGCGGGCUUCGGCCUGGCGGCGAGUGGCGAACGGGUGAGUAAUGCAUCGGAACGUGCCCAGUAGUGGGGGAUAGCCCGGCGAAAGCCGGAUUAAUACCGCAUACGACCUGAGGGUGAAAGCGGGGGACCGAAAGGCCUCGCGCUAUUGGAGCGGCCGAUGUCGGAUUAGCUAGUUGGGGGGGUAAAGGCUUACCAAGGCGACGAUCCGUAGCUGGUCUGAGAGGACGACCAGCCACACUGGGACUGAGACACGGCCCAGACUCCUACGGGAGGCAGCAGUGGGGAAUUUUGGACAGUGGGGGCAACCCUGAUCCAGCCAUGCCGCGUGCGGGAAGAAGGCCUUCGGGUUGUAAACCGCUUUUGUUCGGGAAGAAAUCCUCUGGGCUAAUACCCCGGGGGGAUGACGGUACCGGAAGAAUAAGCACCGGCUAACUACGU